RNAcentral lists this ribosomal RNA (815 nucleotides) under uncultured bacterium. RNAcentral's name for it is "bacterial SSU rRNA". It matches the Rfam family "Bacterial small subunit ribosomal RNA", at positions 8 to 796 of the family's 1533-position model. The record is from RNAcentral.
AGAGUUUGAUCAUGGCUCAGAAUGAACGCUGGCGGCGUGCUUAACACAUGCAAGUCGUACGAGAACUCUUUAGCUUGCUAAAGAUAGUAAAGUGGCGCACGGGUGAGUAACGCGUGGGUAAUCUACCUCCGAAUCGGGGAUAACCCGCCGAAAGGCGAGCUAAUACCGGAUGAUAUCUUUGAGACUUCGGCUUCAAAGAUCAAAGAUGGUCUCUACAUGUAAGCUAUUGUUUGGAGAUGAGCCCGCGUACCAUUAGCUUGUUGGUAGGGUAACGGCCUACCAAGGCCACGAUGGUCAGCUGGUCUGAGAGGAUGAUCAGCCACACUGGAACUGACACACGGUCCAGACUCCUACGGGAGGCAGCAGUGAGGAAUUUUGCGCAAUGGGGGAAACCCUGACACAGCAACGCCGCGUGAGUGAUGAAGGCUUUCGGGUCGUAAAACUCUGUCAAGUGGGAAGAACCUGUUGGAUAUUAAUAUCAUUCAACACUGACGGUACCACUAAAGGAAGCACCGGCUAACUCCGUGCCAGCAGCCGCGGUAAUACGGGGGGUGCAAGCGUUAUUCGGAAUUAUUGGGCGUAAAGGGCGCGUAGGCGGUCCUUAAUGUCAGAUGUGAAAGCCCGGGGCUCAACCCCGGAAGUGCAUUUGAAACUUAGGGACUUGAGUAUGGGAGAGGGAAGUGGAAUUCCUGGUGUAGCGGUGAAAUGCGUAGAUAUCAGGAGGAACACCAGUGGCGAAGGCGACUUCCUGGACCAAUACUGAGCUGAGGCGCGAAGGCGUGGGGAGCAAACAGGAUUAGAUACCCUAGUAGUCC